RNAcentral lists this transfer RNA (73 nucleotides) under Trichuris suis (pig whipworm). It matches the Rfam family "tRNA". Rfam says of the family: Transfer RNA (tRNA) molecules are approximately 80 nucleotides in length. Their secondary structure includes four short double-helical elements and three loops (D, anti-codon, and T loops). The record is from Rfam by way of RNAcentral. Lineage: Eukaryota; Metazoa; Nematoda; Enoplea; Trichinellida; Trichuridae.
GGGCCAGUAGUUCAAAUGGUAGAGCGCUCGCUUAGCAUGCGAGAGGUACUGGGAUCGUUACCCAGCUGAUACA